GGCGAUAGAACCAGGAAGUUAAGCAUGCUCAGGCUGAAGCAAUGACAGGAUGGGUGACCGGCCGGGAAGUUAGACGAUUUCGAUUGAGUACGGUGGAGCAGUGAGGAUGGAUGCUUAGAGAUUAAAUUGUCAAAUAAUUCAAGCGUUACUGCUAUGUAUAUUUCAAGCGCUACUACUAGGGAACCCUAGUAGUGUGUGUUUAACAUGGGAGAUA
Molecule: long non-coding RNA, 214 nt
Filed under: Hordeum vulgare
Lineage: Eukaryota; Viridiplantae; Streptophyta; Magnoliopsida; Poales; Poaceae
Description: long non-coding RNA (HVUL_LNC015181)
Source: RNAcentral